Molecule: unclassified non-coding RNA, 339 nt
Filed under: soil metagenome
Description: partial contains 5.8S ribosomal RNA, internal transcribed spacer 2, and large subunit ribosomal RNA
Rfam family: 5.8S ribosomal RNA (bases 1-120)
Source: RNAcentral
GAUGAAGAACGUAGCGAAAUGCGAUAACUAAUGUGAAUUGCAGAAUUCAGUGAAUCAUCGAGUCUUUGAACGCACAUUGCGCCCCCUGGUAUUCCGGGGGGCAUGCCUGUCCGAGCGUCAUUGCUGCCCUCAAGCACGGCUUGUGUGUUGGGCUCCGUCCCCCCGGGGACGGGCCCGAAAGGCAGCGGCGGCACCGAGUCCGGUCCUCGAGCGUAUGGGGCUUUGUCACCCGCUCUGUAGGCCCGGCCGGCGCCAGCCGACAACCCAUCAUCCUUUUCAGGUUGACCUCGGAUCAGGUAGGGAUACCCGCUGAACUCAAGCAUAUCAAUAAGCGGAGGA